CACGUAGUUAGCCGGCCCUUAUUCUUCCGGUACCGUCAUCCACACCUAAUAUUAGUAAGUGCGAUUUCUUUCCGGACAAAAGUGCUUUACAACCCGAAGGCCUUCUUCACACACGCGGCAUUGCUGGAUCAGGGUUGCCCCCAUUGUCCAAAAUUCCCCACUGCUGCCUCCCGUAGGAGUCUGGGCCGUGUCUCAGUCCCAGUGUGGCUGAUCGUCCUCUCAGACCAGCUACUGAUCGUCGCCUUGGUGGGCCUUUACCUCACCAACUAGCUAAUCAGACAUCGGCCGCUCCUAUAGCAUGAGGCCUUGCGGUCCCCCACUUUCACCCUCAGUCGUAUGCGGUAUUAGCUAAUCUUUCGACUAGUUACUCCCCCAUACAGGGCACGUUCCGAUGUAUUACUCACCCGUUCGCCACUCGCCAUCAAUCUAGCAAGCUAGAUCAUGCUGCCCGUUUCGACUUGCAUUGUACGUAAGGCCUAAGUCGCCCCGGCCACGGUCGUUUACAAUUCCUA
Molecule: ribosomal RNA, 512 nt
Filed under: uncultured Ralstonia sp.
Lineage: Bacteria; Pseudomonadati; Pseudomonadota; Betaproteobacteria; Burkholderiales; Burkholderiaceae
Description: partial 16S ribosomal RNA
Source: RNAcentral